GCGAGCGGCAGAGCGCUGGCCGGCAAUGGCGCCGCGGUGGUUGCUGCUGCUGCGGCUGCGCUAGCGAGCGGAGAAGAAGAGAGGGAGCGGGAGGGGACAGUAUGGCGCCUGGGGGCGCGGGGUGCCGUCCCGACCGGGGUAAGCCGGUCGGCCAGCGGCGCAUCCACGACGCCGGCGUACGGCCGCCACAUGGCCGGCGUCAGGUGGAGCAAGACGGGCACCCGCGUGCGGGAGAGGGGAGGGGGAAACUGGGCGGCGCGGCUUGGCUCGGCCGAAAGGGAGGCGGUUGGCCCAGCAGCGCCUGCCCCUUUUUCUUUUUUCUUUUUUUUUAAUUUCUUUUCUCCAAAAAGCUCAAAUAAGAUUUGUGAAGCCUUUGCAAAUCAUUUUAGGGGUUGGAGUAAAAAGAAGAAAGGUUCCCCACAAAAUUUCCUGCAAUUUUUCUUUAACAUGUAAAUUCAAAUUCCAAACAGAAUUUGAAUCACACACCAAAACUAGUUCUAGGUUUUCAAUUAAAUUCAUUUUAGGGAAUUUUGUAUAAAAUCCAUUCCUCAAUUUCCAUAGCUCCAAAAAUUUCACAAAAUUACUCUUAAUUCUUCUAACACCUAUUUCAACUUGUUUUAGGCAUCACAAGGGUUUUUGAACAAACAUACUAUUUCUAUCAUAUUUAGUUCAUAUGAAAUAAAGCACAUAAAAUCACACUUGAAUGAAUGGCAUGCUCAUGGAUGCUAUGCUUGAUGAGAAUGCUUAUGGAUGAGUUUAUGAGACUAAGUGC
Molecule: long non-coding RNA, 772 nt
Filed under: Sorghum bicolor (sorghum)
Lineage: Eukaryota; Viridiplantae; Streptophyta; Magnoliopsida; Poales; Poaceae
Description: long non-coding RNA (SBIC_LNC015918)
Source: RNAcentral